RNAcentral lists this transfer RNA (74 nucleotides) under Pseudomonadota bacterium. RNAcentral's name for it is "tRNA-Pro". It matches the Rfam family "tRNA". From Rfam's summary of the family: Transfer RNA (tRNA) molecules are approximately 80 nucleotides in length. Their secondary structure includes four short double-helical elements and three loops (D, anti-codon, and T loops). Further hydrogen bonds mediate the characteristic L-shaped molecular structure. tRNAs have two regions of fundamental functional importance: the anti-codon, which is responsible for specific mRNA codon recognition, and the 3' end, to which the tRNAs corresponding amino acid is attached (by aminoacyl-tRNA synthetases). tRNAs cope with the degeneracy of the genetic code in two manners: having more than one tRNA (with a specific anti-codon) for a particular amino acid; and 'wobble' base-pairing, i.e. permitting non-standard base-pairing at the 3rd anti-codon position. Lineage: Bacteria; Pseudomonadati; Pseudomonadota. The record is from RNAcentral. RNAcentral also lists the same sequence under 2 other names.
CGGGGUGUAGCGCAGCUUGGUAGCGCGUUUGGUUCGGGACCAAAAGGUCGGAGGUUCAAAUCCUCUCACCCCGA